UCCGAGUUGACCCCGGCAGUCUCCUAUGAGUCCCCGGCAUUAUCCGCUGGCAACAUAGGACGAGGGUUGCGCUCGUUGCGGGACUUAACCCAACAUCUCACGACACGAGCUGACGACAGCCAUGCAGCACCUGUGCACGGACUCCGAAGAGGGGCUCCCCUUUCUGAGAGCUUUCCCCAGCAUGUCAAGCCUAGGUAAGGUUCUGCGCGUUGCGUCGAAUUAAUCCACAUAAUCCACCGCUUGUGCGGGUCCCCGUCAAUUCCUUUGAGUUUUAACCUUGCGGCCGUACUCCCCAGGCGGUCGACUUCACGCGUUAGCUUCGUUACUGAGAGUGUCAAACCCCCAACAACCAGUCGACAUCGUUUAGGGCGUGGACUAC
Molecule: unclassified non-coding RNA, 379 nt
Filed under: uncultured bacterium
Lineage: Bacteria
Description: contains 16S-23S intergenic spacer region
Source: RNAcentral